RNAcentral lists this long non-coding RNA (861 nucleotides) under Rattus norvegicus (Norway rat). RNAcentral describes it as "long non-coding RNA NONRATT000248". The record is from RNAcentral. Lineage: Eukaryota; Metazoa; Chordata; Mammalia; Rodentia; Muridae.
UUCUCCUGCAUGCAUCACAGUUGGCGUUUACUGCAUUGGUGAGUUGGUUUUAGGAUUACAUGAGGCGAUACAGUUAUUUCGCUAUUGGAAUGAGACUUCCGUUUCCUUAGACUUCUGUGGUCAAGAUAAAGCAGUCAAGGGUAGUUACUGCUCUCAUUGGCUGUGUGCUCCUGGGGAAAGAAGUUUUAGAGAGUCCUACCAGGAUUUUUACAGUUGUCAGCUUUCCCCGGGUUUGAGCAGAAGUGUGGCUAAGGGAGGUGGGAGAGUGAGAGAGAAUGAAGAGUGUAUGGAUGACUCUAGAAUGGGUUCCUACGUCAGUGUUAACAAGUAUCUAGUACGGGAAAAAAAAUAACACUGUCAUGCUUCACUCCUCCAGCACAUUGUGAUUCAGUAAGAUGGAGAUGAGGGUUAGUCCAGGCACCCGAGGUCACUCCUUCAGCUUCCCGAUCAAACCUCUAGUAGCAGAGCCUCUCCAUCGAGAAAUGACCACCAGGUGGCAGUGUUUGCCAACAGUGGCGUGAUUAACAACCAGAUUCCAUGUUACCUAAGCGAAAUUAAUUCUCUGGCUAUUUGUAGCUGAUGAUUAUCUAAGUUCAUUUAAACGUUUGGCUAUAUGAAUAUAUCGGCUACAGUUUCUCUGAAAAUUAGGCUGGUUUUGGAAGGGUUGAUACAGCCCUACUUUAAAAUGUAGUUGUUUCUUUAAGCUCAGAUUCUCAUUUUUUAUACUCUGCUGAAAGUGUUUUUAUAACAUGAACUAAUGCUGAUGACAGUUUAAUAAGUCCCCAAAAUGUUUAUUUUGUAGUAUAUUUUCUUAUAUCUGAAGUAUUGAAAAGCAAAUUGGGAAUAAAAGUGUAUGACCUC